GACGAACGCUGGCGGCGUGCUUAACACAUGCAAGUCGAACGGAAAGGCCCUGCUUUUGUGGGGUGCUCGAGUGGCGAACGGGUGAGUAGCACGUGAGUAACCUGCCCUUGACUUUGGGAUAACUUCAGGAAACUGGGGCUAAUACCGGAUAGGAGCUCCUGCUGCAUGGUGGGGGUUGGAAAGUUUCGGCGGUUGGGGAUGGACUCGCGGCUUAUCAGCUUGUUGGUGGGGUAGUGGCUUACCAAGGCUUUGACGGGUAGCCGGCCUGAGGGGUGACCGGCCACAUUGGGACUGAGAUACGGCCCAGACUCCUACGGGAGGCAGCAGUGGGGAAUAUUGCACAAUGGGCGGAAGCCUGAUGCAGCAACGCCGCGUGCGGGAUGACGGCCUUCGGGUUGUAAACCGCUUUCGCCUGUGACGAAGCGUGAGUGACGGUAAUGGGUAAAGAAGCACCGGCUAACUACGUG
This 467-nucleotide ribosomal RNA is filed under the name uncultured bacterium. RNAcentral describes it as "partial 16S ribosomal RNA". It matches the Rfam family "Bacterial small subunit ribosomal RNA", at positions 28 to 507 of the family's 1533-position model. The record is from RNAcentral.